AUAACGAAUUUAUCACGUAUCUUCUCAUCUCAUUUCUUUUAUAUUUGACACUCUAGUAUGUUGUUCAUAGCAUAUCCGAUAUAUUUCUUACAAUUUCACUUAGUUGUGUUUAAUGGGAUGUAAUCCUUGCUAUGAUUCGAUGGUCUCAAAAAUUAUAAUAGCUUCCAGUCAACUUGGGUGUUCAAAGGAGAUAAUCACCAUUGCUGCUGUUCUUUCCGUCCAAUCCAUCUGGAUCUCAGAGAGAGAUACAAAAGGAAUAUGAUGAAGCAAAAUUGAGAUUUGCUGCUGCCGAGAGAAACGUUCUUGAAGUUAGAGAACAAUUCAAAAGAACUGCAAAGAGGAUAAGACUAGUCUUGAAAUCUUGUGAAAGUGAUAUGCGGGCAGUUUGAAAAAUCAGCUGACCCGGAGCUUCCUGGGCAUCUUCUACUGGAACAGUAUCAGGUAUUUAACAAGAUGUGCCAAAUUUGUUUUCCCUGGCAAGAUUUCCGAAAUUGCUUCUGUAAAGCCAAUUGUGGGCUUCCCUUGAACAUUUCAUAAAUUAUUAUUUGGAAGUUGCAAAUAUAUUUGCAAAGUUCCUCAAGUUUGCAAUUAAAUAUAGCUCAGUAGUAUUUGAAAAUUUCAUAUACUAACAAGUGGAAUCAUCAGUGGAGAUCAAGUGGUGGUCAAGCGCAUAUUCUCGUUAAUUUCUCGACCUUUUUUCCAAAAAAGCUCAAAUAUUCUGGGAAAGUACUGGAUCCAUACAUUGAAAGAUUAUAGUUAUAUAUGCUUAUGCCAAAAAGGUGU
Vigna umbellata (rice bean) is the source of this 783-nucleotide non-coding RNA. The record is from RefSeq and is a predicted model, not a curated record. NCBI's taxonomy places the organism in Eukaryota, Viridiplantae, Streptophyta, Magnoliopsida, Fabales, Fabaceae.